Molecule: small RNA, 723 nt
Filed under: Pan troglodytes (chimpanzee)
Lineage: Eukaryota; Metazoa; Chordata; Mammalia; Primates; Hominidae
Description: processed transcript
Source: RNAcentral
UGCCACAUUGUGAGAUUCCCAGAGUGAAAUGUAUAGGCCCAGGGAAAAGUGUCUUCUCGGCCCCGAGACGCGGGGAGGCUCUAGACUUUCCUGUGGUGGGCACAGCUGCUGAAUCCCGGGGACCGGCGCGGAGCCAAUACUCUUGCAAGCUGGAUGCCCUCUGUGGAUGAAAGAUGUAUCAUGGAAUGAACCCGAGCAAUGGAGAUGGAUUUCUAGAGCAGCAGCAGCAGCAGCAACCUCAGUCCCCCCAGAGACUCUUGGCUGUGAUCCUGUGGUUUCAGCUGGCGCUGUGCUUCGGCCCUGCACAGCUCACGGGCGUACACUUGACCCUCUGGUCAAGUGUUUGAGGGUUGCCCAGAGUGCCCCCCACCCCCAGGCUUCAAGGAAGAGAGCCAAGAGUUUGCUCAACAAGUGACUCCUUUAAGGUCUCUGACUCAUGCAAACCCCUGGUCCAGCGGCCUUCUCUGCAUACCCAAGUCAUGGUCCUAGUGCAGCUGAAUUGAGCUCCUGGAGCCCUCAUUUGGUUCAUGUCGCUGUAGUGCUGUGCUCUGUGCCAGCAGGUGGAAACAGAUGCUUUCUGACUGACUCACUGAUUUGUAGAUGUUAAGUCCCUUGGUUUUAUUGAGAAACAUUUUCUUACAUGGUAGAGUGAAAGCUUUUCAUUCAAUGCUACAUCUAAAAUUCACAAUUUCAAACUGCACUUAAUCGGUACACAAAGUCCCA